RNAcentral lists this ribosomal RNA (495 nucleotides) under uncultured bacterium. RNAcentral describes it as "partial 16S ribosomal RNA". It matches the Rfam family "Bacterial small subunit ribosomal RNA", at positions 30 to 507 of the family's 1533-position model. The record is from RNAcentral.
UGAACGCUGGCGGCGUGCCUAAUACAUGCAAGUCGAGCGAACAGACGAGGAGCUUGCUCCUCUGACGUUAGCGGCGGACGGGUGAGUAACACGUGGAUAACCUACCUAUAAGACUGGGAUAACUUCGGGAAACCGGAGCUAAUACCGGAUAAUAUAUUGAACCGCAUGGUUCAAUAGUGAAAAACGGUUUUGCUGUCACUUAUAGAUGGAUCCGCGCCGCAUUAGCUAGUUGGUAAGGUAACGGCUUACCAAGGCAACGAUGCGUAGCCGACCUGAGAGGGUGAUCGGCCACACUGGAACUGAGACACGGUCCAGACUCCUACGGGAGGCAGCAGUAGGGAAUCUUCCGCAAUGGGCGAAAGCUUGACGGAGCAACGCCGCGUGAGUGAUGAAGGUCUUCGGAUCGUAAAACUCUGUUAUUAGGGAAGAACAAAUGUGUAAGUAACUAUGCACGUCUUGACGGUACCUAAUCAGAAAGCCACGGCUAACUACGUG